Molecule: ribosomal RNA, 496 nt
Filed under: uncultured bacterium
Lineage: Bacteria
Description: partial 16S ribosomal RNA
Rfam family: Bacterial small subunit ribosomal RNA
Source: RNAcentral
GAUGAACGCUGGCGGCGUGCCUAAUACAUGCAAGUCGAGCGAACGGACGAGAAGCUUGCUUUUCUGAUGUUAGCGGCGGACGGGUGAGUAACACGUGGAUAACCUACCUAUAAGACUGGGAUAACUUCGGGAAACCGGAGCUAAUACCGGAUAAUAUUUUGAACCGCAUGGUUCAAAAGUGAAAGACGGUCUUGCUGUCACUUAUAGAUGGAUCCGCGCUGCAUUAGCUAGUUGGUAAGGUAACGGCUUACCAAGGCAACGAUGCAUAGCCGACCUGAGAGGGUGAUCGGCCACCCUGGACCUGAGACCCGGUCAGACUCCUACGGGAGGCAGCAGUAGGGAAUCUUCCGCAAUGGGCGAAAGCCUGACGGAGCAACGCCGCGUGAGUGAUGAAGGUCUUCGGAUCGUAAAACUCUGUUAUUAGGGAAGAACAUAUGUGUAAGUAACUGUGCACAUCUUGACGGUACCUAAUCAGAAAGCCACGGCUAACUACGUG